UGGGGAAUAUUGCACAAUGGGCGAAAGCCUGAUGCAGCAACGCCGCGUGCGCGAUGAAGGCCUUCGGGUCGUAAAGCGCUUUUCUGGGAGAUGAGAAAGGACAGUAUCUCAGGAAUAAGUCUCGGCUAACUACGUGCCAGCAGCCGCGGUAAAACGUAGGAGGCAAGCGUUAUCCGGAUUCACUGGGCGUAAAGCGCGUGCAGGCGGUUCGGUAAGUUGGGCGUGAAAUCUCCUGGCUUAACUAGGAGAGGUCGUUCAAUACUACCGAACUUGAGAGUGAUAGAGGAAGAUGGAAUUCCCGGUGUAGUGGUGAAAUGCGUAGAUAUCGGGAGGAACACCAGUGGCGAAAGCGAUCUCUGGAUCAUUCUGACGCUCAGACGCGAAAGCUAGGGUAGUAAACGGGAUUAGAGACCCCGGUAAUCCUAGCCGUAAACGAUGUAAACUUGGACGUCGGUGGCUUAAACUCCAUCGGUGCCGGCAGCUAACGCGAUAAG
This 494-nucleotide ribosomal RNA is filed under the name uncultured Chloroflexota bacterium. RNAcentral describes it as "bacterial SSU rRNA". It matches the Rfam family "Bacterial small subunit ribosomal RNA", at positions 355 to 864 of the family's 1533-position model. The record is from RNAcentral. Lineage: Bacteria; Bacillati; Chloroflexota.